This 913-nucleotide ribosomal RNA is filed under the name Streptomyces sp. LK1134.5. RNAcentral's name for it is "bacterial SSU rRNA". It matches the Rfam family "Bacterial small subunit ribosomal RNA", at positions 25 to 952 of the family's 1533-position model. The record is from RNAcentral. Lineage: Bacteria; Bacillati; Actinomycetota; Actinomycetes; Kitasatosporales; Streptomycetaceae.
GCANNCUUACGNUCUGGGNCACUCNUCUANACAUGCAAGUCGAACGAUGAAGCCCUUCGGGGUGGAUUAGUGGCGAACGGGUGAGUAACACGUGGGCAAUCUGCCCUUCACUCUGGGACAAGCCCUGGAAACGGGGUCUAAUACCGGAUAACACCUGCCCGGGCAUCUGGGUGGGUUAAAAGCUCCGGCGGUGAAGGAUGAGCCCGCGGCCUAUCAGCUUGUUGGUGAGGUAGUGGCUCACCAAGGCGACGACGGGUAGCCGGCCUGAGAGGGCGACCGGCCACACUGGGACUGAGACACGGCCCAGACUCCUACGGGAGGCAGCAGUGGGGAAUAUUGCACAAUGGGCGAAAGCCUGAUGCAGCGACGCCGCGUGAGGGAUGACGGCCUUCGGGUUGUAAACCUCUUUCAGCAGGGAAGAAGCGAAAGUGACGGUACCUGCAGAAGAAGCGCCGGCUAACUACGUGCCAGCAGCCGCGGUAAUACGUAGGGCGCAAGCGUUGUCCGGAAUUAUUGGGCGUAAAGAGCUCGUAGGCGGCUUGUCACGUCGGGUGUGAAAGCCCGGGGCUUAACCCCGGGUCUGCAUUCGAUACGGGCUAGCUAGAGUGUGGUAGGGGAGAUCGGAAUUCCUGGUGUAGCGGUGAAAUGCGCAGAUAUCAGGAGGAACACCGGUGGCGAAGGCGGAUCUCUGGGCCAUUACUGACGCUGAGGAGCGAAAGCGUGGGGAGCGAACAGGAUUAGAUACCCUGGUAGUCCACGCCGUAAACNGUGGGAACUAGGUGUUGGCGACAUUCCACGUCGUCGGUGCCGCAGCUAACGCAUUAAGUUCCCCNCCUGGGGANUACNGGCCCAAGGNUNAAACUCAAAGGAAUUGACGGGGGCCCNCNCAANCAGCGGAACUGGGGNUUNAUUC